This 253-nucleotide ribosomal RNA is filed under the name uncultured bacterium. RNAcentral describes it as "partial 16S ribosomal RNA". It matches the Rfam family "Bacterial small subunit ribosomal RNA", at positions 524 to 776 of the family's 1533-position model. The record is from RNAcentral.
UACGGGGGGGGCAAGCGUUGUUCGGAAUUACUGGGCGUAAAGGGCUCGUAGGUGGCCAACUAAGUCAGACGUGAAAUCCCUCGGCUUAACCGAGGAACUGCCUGUCAGACUGUAAGGCUUGAGACCGGGAGAGGUGAGUGGAAUUCCCAGUGUAGCGGUGAAAUGCGUAGAUAUUGGGAGGAACACCAGUGGCGAAGGCGGCUCACUGGACCGGUACUGACGCUGAGGCGCGAAAGCGUGGGGAGCAAACAGG